RNAcentral lists this ribosomal RNA (409 nucleotides) under Mandarina conus. Its description in RNAcentral is "partial 16S ribosomal RNA". Lineage: Eukaryota; Metazoa; Mollusca; Gastropoda; Stylommatophora; Camaenidae. The record is from RNAcentral.
AGUUUUGAGCUAAAUAUAUUAUAAUAUUAGUUUACUUAUGAAGGUGUUGUAAAACCUUAUUAAAAAUUAUAUUUAGGGGUGAUAGGCCUUUCAAAAACUAAGAUAUCUUGAAUCUAAUUAAAAGUAUGUAGUACAUUCAACACAACUAUUAAGUGAUUAGGCUUUAUAGAACUAUUAACUUAUAAGGAUUUUUAUUUAUUAUAAUUUAAUAAUUAAGUAUAUAAAUAAAAUAAUAUACAUAUAUUAUAGUUUAUAAGGAGUAAUUAGAUAAAUUAAAGUUCAUAAAUUUUGUAAUAAUGUUAAUAUUAGUAUUAAGUUUAUAUUUAUAUGAUGAACUCGGCAAAAAUGUUUCUCAACUGUUUAUCAAAAACAUAACUAUGUGUAUAAAUACAUAGCGGUUUCUGCUCAA